UGGACAACUAAACAUUCACUCUUAAGUACAACUCCAAUAAACUUGAAACAUAAAUUUGUCCAAUAAAAGAAACAAAAUACUUGUUCUAAAUAUCCAUUCUUAAUAUCACACCAACUCAAACAAAAGAUUCAGCCGUCUCAAAACUCAAAAGAGACCAUGACUACACUAUAUACACAGAAUGACGGAUCUUCCCAAAAUAAUUUUCUAGUUCAAUCCAAUCACUCUUCAAUCUCCGACUCCUGUAAGGAAAACAAAACUAAAAGGGUGAGCUUACGCCCGUGAGGUUUCCAUGCAAGCAACAAUCAAUAAGCACUUAAAUCAGUACAGUUAAGCAAGUAGUGCACAUUUCACUGUACAAUCACUUUCAUUAAUCAAUUGAAGAAGCACUUCACUUCACUGAACAAUCACUUUUAAAAGGAUACGGUGCUCGCAUUAGAGCCACUUCAAUGCACUACACAUUCCGCCGAACUCCUCCUUAUAACCUCCAAAACAAUAAACACUUCCCUCACUUAGAUGGCCAUAUCAAUAUCAGUAAUCUGCUACUCCAUGGUAAUACUUGAGUAUACCGAAACACUUACCCAAAGCUACCGUCCUAUCCGACCAAACCCUUUACUGGCUUGAAUAGUCCGUUGAACAGAGGGUUUUGGAGCCCAGUUCAGCCAGUGUGAUAAAGUACACACAUGGCUUACAGUCAUGCACACUUACAAUAUCACUUGAUCAAUUAUCAACCUUCAAGCUCAACUAAGCCGAGUGCGAUAAAGUACACUGUGAGAACCCGUAAUCCCCUAAUAUUUUUCCUAGGGUUUUUCCCCUUAAUUGCAUGUUUUCUGUAUUUUCUGGCUUAGAAAAAUUUUCUUGGUGGAUUUUAUGGGUCAUUAUAGUUUUUAGAUGAUUUUUCUAGCAUUGGGUAGUUUUUGAAAACUUAAGGAUAUAUAAUGGAUGUGGGACCCACUAGUGCGAAAAGUUCGGAAAAAUUCGGCCAAUUAGGUUAAGUUUCGGAUACUGGUUGAAAUUUAUCGGGUGUUAAGAGAUAAGUAGAGAAUGAGAUGUGAUUGAUGUGAGAGGAAACAAAAGGAUAGAAAUGCAUUUAAUGGAGGUGACAAGAGUCACCAUUGUAUUGGAAAUAGCUUAUGACUUACUAUUCAUUUUCUUGACUUUUGACCAAUUGCUUAAAUAUCUCAAAAAUCACACAAAAUUCAUUCUUGUCUUCAACCUCUUGGCCGAUUCUCUCUCUAGCAAAGAAGGAAGAAAAACCUCUUCAAAGUUUGGCAAUUCUCUAGCUCAAAUCAUCCAAAACACUUGCUUGAACUAGUUUCUACUCCAUAAAAUCCUUCCAUUAGGUGCUAGUGAGUUGUUUGGUGAAGUUUUUUGGAGAAGCUAAGGUGUUCUACAACUUCCUCUCUCUUGUUUACUUGGUAAGUGGUGCUUACACUUCCUCUUACACCUAAUGAUGUUUAAUUUAUGCCUCAUGGUGGCUAUAGUGUUGGAAAUUGUGGUUUAUUUCUUGGUUUGGAAUGAAUUGGUGAAGUUUUAUUUUUUUUGAGGAAUUUUCUGGUUUAAUGUGAUCAUGGUCUUGUGACUGACUGAGUCCCGGCGAGAGGUGGGGAGGUGGGGCUGUUACAUACACUCCCGACUUAGAAGGCGAGGGACAAUUGAAAACACUUCACAAUGAAUCACUUAGCAAUAUUUCAUAAUAAGCACAUUCGCCAUAUAAUUGCACUUAGGUACACAUAAGCAGUUUAACACAUAAAUUCGGAAAACACUCACCGUUAAAGGUCAAUUAAGCUUCGCUUUCUGGGUUAAACCCUUGAUCACUCUCAAUUCCUGAGGUAAAAUAAAACUACAAUCAUUCAGGUAUUCUUAAUGUGAAUCCUAAUAGGUUUAUUUAGAGUUUUAAAAUUUCCUAAACAUAGUUCAACCAAUCCAAGCAGUCUAAUACUCUUAAAACUCCCAUUUGAUUUGAUUCACACUUUUAAGUUUAGGAAUUUUAUGUACAACCCCAAACAUAAGUUCUAAAGUUCUAAAAUGUAAGGAGAGAAGUUUUAAGCUUUUUAAAUCACUAGAAACCAAGUUCCUUAGCUUACUAAAUAAGAUGUGAAAUUCCAGCAAUUCUUUCUUCCAUUUCUCUUCGAGAUUUAUUAAGUUUAUUAACUAAGAAUGAUGAAUAUAUACAUAUACACCAAAUUUAAAGUCUUGUGAAGUAUUUAGACUAAGAUUAUAUCAUUUUCAAUACAACUUAAAGAGUAGAACUGGAAAACUUUUCAUUUCUUCUCUCUCGGCCAAAACAAUUUCCAAUCCAAUUUGUUGUUUAAGUUCUCUCAGAUUUCAUUAGCUUUUCAGGUCUCAAAUUCACUAAAAUGAACGUGAAUGAUAGAGUCAAGAUGUUAGAAGAUGUUUUAUACAAGAUUACAACCAAUCAUCCUGGAAUUUUUUUCGAAAUAUCAUAAGAGUUUCAAUUCUUCACUCUCUCGGUAAGCAAGACAAUUUUCCAGCAAUACCACUUCAAAAAUUUCCACAAACUGCCACCUUUUACUUGCUUAAAACACUAAACACUGAGUAUACAUUCUGUCCAACACAAACCAAGGCAAAUAACACUUAAUUCCAGCAUAUGGUUCAGCCAAAAAAUCAAAGAACAAAACUGAACCAAGGUUUAUAUCCUCUCUCGGCCAUAGGGUUGAAUUCUAAACAGUAAUCAGUGCAAAAGACAAGAAUUUCUUCCACUAAACCCAUCAUUUUUUUUUACUCAAAUCUUUCAUGCAUGAAAAAAUCGAGAUAUUAUACAACAUACAGAUUAAUACAGAAUUUUAGAGUCAUUCUUCGCAAUGACAGCUGAAACUUUUCCAUUUCCCUCCAUUCGGAUGAAGCUGGAAAAUUCCAGCAAGGUUCUUCCAUCGGUUCCAAACCAAAUCUCCAACUUUUCACAAGUUUCUACAGCUAAACCUCUUAUAAUACUUGAGAUAUAUAUGUUACAUGAAUUUCCAACGUUAUUUUCCAUUCUACACUUGUUAACAAGCUGCAACUCUAACCAAUGAACUUUCGGUUCCUACCAGUUUCAGUCCAACAACUUUUCAAUCCCAAAUCAGAAUUUUCCUUGGUCAAGAAUUCAUUUUCCUUGCUAAACUUAACAUGCCACUUAUAUAUUCGCUUAUACUUAAUAAGUAAAGGUUUAUUACAGAAUUUUUUCACCUCCUUUCCUUUAGGAUUCAACAGUUGCAGACUGCUCCAGUUUUUAAGCUUCGGUUCCUCCAGAUUGCACCAGCUCUCACUCUGUUCCCUCACUGAUGCAGUUGAUACGUGAGUUGCAGACUGGUUUCACCUCUUUGUACUCACUCUUAGCUCACGAUUCUAAGGUCACAAGCGAGAUGAAUGCAGCUAACACUGUCUAACUCUCUCCUCCUCACUCUUUCGGUUGCACUGGAAGCAAGAGAAAAUCAGAAAUGCUUCCUUUCCUCCCUUUUGAUGGUGUACGGAGAUGAGAGAAAUAUGUCUUAGUUUCUCUCGGUCUUGCUCUCACUCUCUUUCACUCUUGCUUUCUUUCCUCACUCUCUCUAUUUCCUCUCACUCGGUGGUAUUUGGAAAUGCAUGGGUGUGACCGAAACUCUCCCUCAGUUUUGUUUCUAAUACUGGAUUGGUAAGAAGAGAAAUGAACAUAUUUCCUUCACUCAGCCGACCACUCAAACCUCUUCAUUCGGUGCUGAUCAUUCCAACUCUCA
Molecule: long non-coding RNA, 3713 nt
Filed under: Coffea arabica (coffee)
Lineage: Eukaryota; Viridiplantae; Streptophyta; Magnoliopsida; Gentianales; Rubiaceae
Description: long non-coding RNA (CARA_LNC005701)
Source: RNAcentral